RNAcentral lists this long non-coding RNA (1161 nucleotides) under Struthio camelus australis. RNAcentral describes it as "lncRNA (ENSSCUG00000003114.1)". The record is from RNAcentral. Lineage: Eukaryota; Metazoa; Chordata; Aves; Struthioniformes; Struthionidae.
AGAUAUUAGCUUAAUAACUUAUGUGAUGGGUUUCCAAACUUUAUUGAUGCAUGUUCAAAUGCUCUGAAGUCAUCAUCCCUCCCAUUUGUCAAACUAUGCAACAACCCUGAAGCAACUAAAACAAUUGCUUACAUGGAAAGUGGAGUUAUUUUUAGCUGUUUUGCUAAGGGAUCCAGUUUCUUCUCUACUUUUAAGGCAGCAACAGAAGCUAGUGUGAGCUGUUGGUUUCUAUGUUCUUGAUUCUACAAGCUUUCAGCUUGCAAUAAAGGAAGGGGUCAAGAUACCCAAGAAAAAUACCCUGAACAAUUUCGCUCACCAUACAUUACUUAAAAGCAGUUGAGCAAAAAUCUUUGGUUUUCAGGGAAAAGGAAAAAAACAGAAGGGGAUAUCUUUACACAUCUUCCCUCUGGGUAGGAUGCGGAUGACUGUCCUAAUACAAAUUCAGUUGCAAUUUCAUUCAAGCCGAGAAAACUUUGAACCAAACUUUGCGCCAGACUGCUUCUUUGUGUUGCCUACCAGGAUCAUGGCGGGAGGCCACUGAAUGUCGUGGCUCUUGUGCAUGUACGCUUGGGGGAGCUGGGAAAGGAGAAAAGGAAACGAGAAAGCAUCUGAGAGCGCUUUGCGGAGGAAAAAAGCUUAAAAUACAGGAAAGAAGAAUGGAGGACAUAGCAGGGUGAAAAAGUCCAUUGAAGCAGUAAGGGAUAUGAAGAAGCUGGAGGGGUUCAGUCUGGCCAGACCACCAAUCGCCCUUGAAGAGCCUGCUGUCAAGACUGGCUGUCACAACACCUGUUUCUGGGUUAUUUUAAAUUCAGACCUGGUUCCUCGAUCCAGUUCCAUGUAUUGGCUCUGCAAACAGCUGUGUCAGCACAGCUGCAGCGAUGGAGCAGGGCAGCAAUGAGCGGCAUGAGAAGGAGGAGUGGGAAUUGCUUACACUGGAAUUGCCACCAAAAAACAUUUGAGGUUAUAGCCGUAUAGCCCUCUAAAGCAGAAGAAACACUUGGCACCAGAAACUUAGUUUAAAAAGAUAAGAAAAUGAAAAGAGCUAUGAUUAAUUCACUAGGAGCACAGUAAGAUUCAAGGAGCUCACCCCGCUGUACCUGGUCCCCACUUUUUGGCACAGCAUAAAAUAAAAGAUUAAAUGUUUCUCCCUUAAAAUGUAUU